AAAAAAUAAUUUGUAGGAAAUUUUGAGAGUAAAGACUUGAAACAAAAGACCCUGCUCAAACUGAAAGAAGGUUCCUCAGAUGCUACUGGUGGAUGUGAUGGCUCCUCAAAUAGAGGCUCAGGAGGUGUGGAAGAACCAGUCCUCUUGUGUGCAGCAGCUUGGAGGACAUGGCUGUAGUUCCCUUUCUCCAUGAACAGUUGUUGAAAGUGGACUCUGCAGUAGAGGACACCAUCAAGGGCAGCAUAGCUUGAAUGUGUCAGAGGGCACCCUGCAUGAGCACACCUGAAACAAGUCUUGUGGUAGCAUUCUCCUUCCAGUGUUACCUAUUUCAUCAACAAAACCAAAUUUCCAUGCAGAUAUGAGAGAUCACAGACCUUUUCAAGAGGAUAGACUGUUUUAGCGCAUACUGCACAUUUGUCCAGGGUUCCACUGAACAUUGAAGAUAGCUUGCUGGGAGUUCUGUUCUGCUAUUGAUCAUGAUAUAACUUGUAUGUUAGAUGGAGAAUACAAGAAUACGUAAUCAUACAUAGGAAAGUGUAUGGUAGUAUAAUUAAUUGGUAAAGUGUGUGUCAAGAAA
This 577-nucleotide small RNA is filed under the name Vigna angularis var. angularis. RNAcentral describes it as "Non-protein coding transcript". Lineage: Eukaryota; Viridiplantae; Streptophyta; Magnoliopsida; Fabales; Fabaceae. The record is from RNAcentral.